RNAcentral lists this ribosomal RNA (288 nucleotides) under Salmonella enterica subsp. enterica serovar Typhimurium. RNAcentral's name for it is "partial 23S ribosomal RNA". It matches the Rfam family "Bacterial large subunit ribosomal RNA", at positions 515 to 816 of the family's 2925-position model. Lineage: Bacteria; Pseudomonadati; Pseudomonadota; Gammaproteobacteria; Enterobacterales; Enterobacteriaceae. The record is from RNAcentral.
AGGAUACGGUUAACGGAGCGAAAGCGACGUUCAACCGCAAAACAAGCAGAGGGGGCUUAGUGGUGGGGUGACUGCGUACCUUUUGUAUAAUGGGUCAGCGACUUAUAUUCUGUAGCAAGGUUAACCGAAUAGGGGAGCCGGAGGGAAACCGAGUCUUAAUUGGGCGUUAAGUUGCAGGGUAUAGACCCGAAACCCGGUGAUCUAGCCAUGGGCAGGUUGAAGGUUGGGUAACACUAACUGGAGGACCGAACCGACUAAUGUUGAAAAAUUAGCGGAUGACCUGUGGCU